GCGUAGUCAAAAAGCUAGUAUAUCGUUACGCCACCUCAGUCGAAAUGUCAAAGCCUAAAAAAAGUAAAAACAACCCCUAAACUAGCUGCCACGGGUGAGGGAGGAGGAGAGAAGAGGCAGGUUGGCAACUGCCAAACAGAAAGGUCUUCUUUUUCUCUGUGAUCUGUUCUCUCUUUUCAACCUAUCUUCGAGACUUGCUUCUGUUACUUUUGUGGAAAGCUAGCAGCUGUGGGCAUUGAGGAGGCAUUCCCUUUCUGCACUAAACUUAAUAGUGGAUGAUGCGUACUGUGAUUUGUACUGAAAUUUGUUGGACGCCUGGAACUGCCAUUUUGUGCUGAACUUAAUUCAAACUAUCAAACCACCAGCUUGUUAUUUUGUUGCUUCA
Molecule: long non-coding RNA, 385 nt
Organism: Populus trichocarpa (black cottonwood)
Lineage: Eukaryota; Viridiplantae; Streptophyta; Magnoliopsida; Malpighiales; Salicaceae
Exons: 2
Source: RefSeq, a predicted model, not a curated record